UUUUUUCGCCACAAAUUAAAACAAAAGUACCCUACUGGUUCUUUUCUCAAAUUAAAAAUUAUGAGACUUUAAGUAGGCAUUAGGGAGUAGACAGAAGAGAGUAAUGCUGGCAAGUAGACUGUAUUUAAAUGCUGAUGAUGAAUGAUAUCGCCUGCCUUUUCCAUUCUUAUACUAAGAACAGUGUUGUGGCCUAGUCCAGUUUUACCUAAGGAUUCAUUUUAAUAAGUAUUUUUGAUUGCCUACUGUGUGCAAGGAACUGAAUGAACUAUGAAAUUGAAACAUUUAUUUUUCCUCAGGGAGUUUACAGUAGGAGAGGAAGGCAUGGAUAUAAUUUAUCAUAAUCUAGUACAGAAGGCAGAAUUUGUAUCAAAAAUGCAAAAACCAAUGGUAGGACAUAUUCAAGAAUCAAUCAGAAUGAUCACUGCCCCACUCGCCUGCAAUCAACAAGGGUCCCACCUGCAGAAAUGCGUGCCAGUUGAACGUUUGUGCUGGCAGAAGGUGAGAAAGUUCUUAGGAGAAGGACAGACUGUGAGUUUAGAAAAUUCCCUUCUGGUUGAGGGGAUCAGGGUGAAAUAUUUGGGGCUUUGAAGAAUGCGUGGUAUUUGAUUAAAAAUUAGAUGUAGGAAACCUGCUUGAAAUUAAAAAAGGCAUGAAUUCAGAUGCAUUCAGGGAAUAUGUUCCAGGGCCAAUUACAUGUUUCAGCUUCGGUUUUCUGAACUGGGGGACACUGCAUAUGAGCUGUAGGGUAGCGGGCUGGGUCAGGAAUUAGGAGAAAUCCUAGGAGGCUGAAGACCAAGCCUGCCACCGAGGAGGAAGGGGGAGGACUUGUUGGACUAACAGAGGGCACAGAACACCCUCCUCCUGGUCAUGUCCCUUGGGAUAUCAGAAGGAAGGGAAAACCUGGAAGGAAGAUUAAACUAUACUGUUUCUGACCCUAGAGGGAAAGGACCCCAAAAUCACUGUACUGAAAAACAGUCAGAUAUGACACUAUUAUGGCAAUAAAGAAAAUCACAUUUUCUGCAUGCUCAAGUUUGUGAUGUUGAAAUUCAUACCUAUGAUGCAUUUAAAGCAUUUAGCUCUUACUAAAAGGUGGUGAUUAUUUGUAGCUGCAAACCUGUAAGAUCUUCAAGAUGUCUAAAUUACUAUCUCCCAUUUGCCAAACUCCUUUUUCUUUACCUCUUUCCACUGGAGAUAGAAAACAGAUCCUAUUCCAUCCUCUGUAUCUUUAAUGAUUUUUCUAAUUUAGGGCAAGUCUCUUCCUCUUCCAGCUGCCUGUUUGUCAAUCCAUUUCAGCUUCUCUACAUCAGGUGAUCAUCAAACUUAACUGUAGAUGUAAAAGCUGAAAGUAUGUCAAGGCAAUGUUGAAAAAAAACAAUGAGGAUGGCAUUUCAGAGGAGAUACACCAUACUCACACAAGUACAGUGAUUCCAGCCCCAUUUACUAAAAAAGAAAAACAAGUUUCAGGAGGCCACCGUGGACUGUCAUUUGGCGUUUUAACCUCAGAGUCAGUCCUGAGCCGUCAUCUACUUAUGAGGUUCCCAUAUGAUGUUUUAUUACCUCUAUGGAUGCAAGACUUUCUUUUUGCCUUCCAGUCACAAGUACUUCUUUGGAAGACUGAUCUAGAUGUUUGCUUACCAUUUGAUGGGUCAUUGUGUAUUCUAAGCCUCUGAGUCCUUGGUUAAUUGGUAGUUGUUUUCUCCUUUGGCAGCAGAAGUCUUGCAAUUUGGGAAAGUUGUGUGCAAAUACAACUCAAACAUUCCCUUCACAUGCAGCAACGAUUUUAUUUUUAGUGUCUUGGGACAUCGGGAAGGAAUCCAACCACUCUCACAUGAUUUCUGCCUGGUAAUUUCUAAGGAAGAGUGAAGAGAGAUAUUCUUCCUUCUGUCUGGAGACGGGAAACAUGUGUCUGAUCUGUUGGCACCUUGACAUGAGAUCAUUUCCAGAAACUUUGAGGAAGUGGCCCAGAUUUGCAGGCAUUGGUAUUGAUGGAGCAAACCAUGGGAAUAUGUUCUUUUUCACGUUCAUAUAAUCUGAGGAACCUGGAGAAUACACAGACGUGGCCUCGGAAGGACUCGAUGCCAGGGAAAGAAUCUGCAGGACUGAGUUUAUCCCUUUGCGAGCACCUCCAUGAUCCAACUGCAGUUUUGAGUCUCGUGGUUCUAUCUCUAAACUUCAAGCUUGGUGACCACUGCUAUUUAUCAUUGUUAAGUAAGAAAAGACAACAUUCUGUUUGUGUUUUGGAUCUGUCACACUUUGUGGCUCAUUUUUCUGAGGAUUAAAGGGUUUGUUCCUGCAAAUGAAAAUAUACUCUGAUACCUGCUAAUCGGAGAUUCUGCAGGUGGUGACACUGCUGAACGUAAUAUCACCUGUUGUUGGGGAUAGUUUGUUUCAAAGGAAAAAAAAAAAAAAACCUAGGGUAGAAAUAAGAGAAAACAGAAGGUGGACCAGUAUUUAAUAGGUUAUGGUCAUCACCUUUAUAACUUUUAUUUCUUUCUUUAAAUUCCCCUCAUAAUUUCCAGAGCGAGCUGCUUCUUAAUUUUAUUAAAAACAUCACAAACCCACACCUGGUUCUGGAGCCAUGCCCUGAUACCAAGCAGUGUGAGUCCAUCCUGAGGCUUCAUAUAUGAGCUAGAAUAAAUAUCUUCUAAAAAAGGUACGUGACAAUGCUUUGAAAAAACAAAUUUUGUUGCCUUUUCAAUUUUCUUUUUUAUUGUUGUUAUUGCAUUUUCAAUUUUCUUUAAUUCAUUGAAGGUGUAAAGUUCACUUUCAAUUUGGCCAUUUCCUUUUCAUUAAAUCCUCCAUGUCCAUGUCACAUAUGCACCUCAACGAUUUCUGGAUAAUUUCCAAAAUAAGGCUGAAAAUAUGUCUAAAAUUUCUAUUCUUAAAGGCUGCCUAGAGGAAUUCACACAUACAUUUUAACAAAUAAAAAGAAUGAUUAUGAAUUAUUUAAACUACCAAUUUCAGCAAUAUUUAAGAGUUUUAAAUAACAUGUUAUUUAUUUUGUUUUAUAAAAGCAGCAAACUAUCACUUAAGGAAUUUGGAAAAAAGAAUCAAGAAAUUAUUUUGCAUGUCAUAUUGCAUUCAGAAAUAAAUUUUUUAAAUAAGAUUUUUAAAGAUUUUUUUUCAAUUUUGGUAUAUAUUUAUUUAUUUACUUUUUGUCUUUUUAUCUUUUUAGGGCUGCAAUCACAGCAUAUGGAGGUUCCCAGGCUAGGGGAGUCCAAUUGGAGCUACAGCUGCCAGCCUACGCCAGAGCCAUAGUAACACCAGAUCCAAGCCGCAUCUAUGUGGCUUGGAUCCCGAGUUGCUGUGGCUCUGGCGUAGGCAGGUGGCUGCAGCUCCGAUUAGACCCCUAGCCUGGGAACCUCCAUAUGCUGCCGGAGUGGCCCAAGAAAUGGCAAAAAGACAGGAAAAACAAACAAACAAACAAACAAACAAACAAAAAACUUUUUCAUGACAAUGGCAUUCCAUCAGAAAAAAGUGCCUAAUUCUUCUAAUAUUUUUCUUCUUGCUCUUUUAGCUAUUUUUCAUUUUUUGCUAUUAUAUCACAUUAUGAUGAAUUUUUUAUGCACAUAUAUUUUUGCCUAUAUUUAAUUAUUUCUUUAAAUUAGCAUUAGAAAGCUCCUGAGGAUUAAGUUAUUGAGUUAAAAAUAUUAGAAAAUAUAUUAAAACAAUGUAUAUUGUAAAAUUACUCUUGAUAAUUUUCUCUGCCAAUAUAGUUUCUCCAAAAAUGACCAAAAGUACUUAAAAAAAAAAA
Molecule: long non-coding RNA, 3754 nt
Filed under: Sus scrofa (pig)
Lineage: Eukaryota; Metazoa; Chordata; Mammalia; Artiodactyla; Suidae
Description: lncRNA (ENSSSCG00055012126.1)
Source: RNAcentral